Molecule: ribosomal RNA, 408 nt
Filed under: uncultured Methanolinea sp.
Lineage: Archaea; Methanobacteriati; Methanobacteriota; Methanomicrobia; Methanomicrobiales; Methanoregulaceae
Description: bacterial SSU rRNA
Rfam family: Archaeal small subunit ribosomal RNA
Source: RNAcentral
CCUAUGGGGGGCAGCAGGCGCGAAAACUUUACAAUGCGAGAAAUCGUGAUAAGGGAACCCCGAGUGCCCGUAAAUUCGGGCUGUCCGCCAGUGUAAAUAACUGGUGAAGAAAGGGCCGGGCAAGACCGGUGCCAGCCGCCGCGGUAAUACCGGCGGCUCGAGUGGUGGCCACUAUUACUGGGCUUAAAGCGUCCGUAGCUGGAUUGUUAAGUCUCUUGGGAAAUCCACCGGCUCAACCGAGAAACUGGCAAUCUAGGGACCGGGAGAGGUGAGAGGUACUCCAGGGGUAGGAGUGAAAUCCUGUAAUCCUUGGGGGACCACCUGUGGCGAAGGCGUCUCACUAGAACGGCUCCGACAGUGAGGGACGAAAGCUGGGGGAGCAAACCGGAUUAGAUACCCGCGUAGUCC